UACAGAGACUGCAAGCGUUACUCGGAUUCACUGGGCGUAAAGGGAGCGCAGGCGGGAAGAUGUGUCGAUUGUGAAACCCCGGAGCUCAACUCCGGGACUGCGGUCGAAACUGUCUUUCUAGGGACUCGGAGGGGCCGGUGGAAUUCCUGGUGGAGCAGUGAAAUGCGUGGAUAUCAGGAGGAACACCAACGGCGAAGGCAGCCGGCUGGACGAGAUCCGACGCUCAGGCUCGAAAGUAUGGGGAGCAAAAAGG
RNAcentral lists this ribosomal RNA (253 nucleotides) under uncultured bacterium. Its description in RNAcentral is "partial 16S ribosomal RNA". It matches the Rfam family "Bacterial small subunit ribosomal RNA", at positions 524 to 776 of the family's 1533-position model. The record is from RNAcentral.